UUGAAUGGUCUUUGACCUUCUACCCCUCAAACCUGUGGAAGCUAAAAAACGUGCUUCGGCGUCCUUUUGGGCGCCGCUUUUAUGCAUAAAUAUGUGUGUCGUCUGAAUCAUACACAUGAAUCA
This 123-nucleotide unclassified non-coding RNA is filed under the name uncultured Archaeorhizomyces. Its description in RNAcentral is "sequence contains ITS1". The record is from RNAcentral. Lineage: Eukaryota; Fungi; Ascomycota; Archaeorhizomycetes; Archaeorhizomycetales; Archaeorhizomycetaceae.